This 422-nucleotide ribosomal RNA is filed under the name uncultured bacterium. RNAcentral describes it as "bacterial SSU rRNA". It matches the Rfam family "Bacterial small subunit ribosomal RNA", at positions 917 to 1344 of the family's 1533-position model. The record is from RNAcentral.
GGGCCCGCACAAGCGGUGGAGCAUGUGGUUUAAUUCGAUGAUACGCGAGGAACCUUACCUAGGCUUAAAUGUAGAUUGACGUAUUGGGAAACCAGUAUUUCUUCGGACAAUCUACAAGGUGCUGCAUGGUUGUCGUCAGCUCGUGCCGUGAGGUGUCGGGUUAAGUCCCAUAACGAGCGCAACCCCUAUCAUUAGUUGCUAACAUUUAGUUGAGGACUCUAAUGAAACUGCCCGCGUAAGCGGUGAGGAAGGUGGGGAUGACGUCAAAUCAUCACGGCCCUUACGUCUAGGGCUACACACGUGCUACAAUGGUAACUACAGAGGGAAGCUAUCUGGUGACAGUGAGCAAAUCCUUAAAAGUUAUCCCAGUUCGGAUUGAAGUCUGCAACUCGACUUCAUGAAGUUGGAAUCGCUAGUAAUCG